CAACUCUGUUCUGCAGAGUAACUGUUAACAUUAUAGUUGCACAGGAACUUUGUUGACUCUAGAGAACCUUGGGCAAAUCGCACAUCCCCGUGGCGGCGACUUUGCAUGAGGAUGUCAUCCAUAUCAACUUUCGAUGCCAGUUUCUGUGCCUACCAUGGUGACCACGGGUAACGGGGAAUCAGGAUUCCAUUCCAUACUGGGACCCUGAGAAAUGGCUACCAUAUGCAAGGAAGGCAGCAGGCGCGCAAAUGACCCACUCCCGACGUGGGAAGGUAGUGA
Pelobates cultripes (western spadefoot toad) is the source of this 279-nucleotide non-coding RNA. The record is from the annotation of a GenBank genome assembly. NCBI's taxonomy places the organism in Eukaryota, Metazoa, Chordata, Amphibia, Anura, Pelobatidae.